UCGAACGAGAGAUGAGGAGCUUGCUCUUCAAAUCGAGUGGCGAACGGGUGAGUAACGCGUGAGGAACCUGCCUCAAAGAGGGGGACAACAGUUGGAAACGACUGCUAAUACCGCAUAAGCCCACGGCUCGGCAUCGAGCAGAGGGAAAAGGAGUGAUCCGCUUUGAGAUGGCCUCGCGUCCGAUUAGCUAGUUGGUGAGGUAACGGCCCACCAAGGCAACGAUCGGUAGCCGGACUGAGAGGUUGAACGGCCACAUUGGGACUGAGACACGGCCCAGACUCCUACGGGAGGCAGCAGUGGGGAAUAUUGCACAAUGGGGGAAACCCUGAUGCAGCGACGCCGCGUGGAGGAAGAAGGUCUUCGGAUUGUAAACUCCUGUUGUUGAGGAAGAUAAUGACGGUACUCAACAAGGAAGUGACGGCUAACUACGUGCCAGCAGCCGCGGUAAAACGUAGGUCACAAGCGUUGUCCGGAAUUACUGGGUGUAAAGGGAGCGCAGGCGGGAGAACAAGUUGGAAGUGAAAUCCAUGGGCUCAACCCAUGAACUGCUUUCAAAACUGUUUUUCUUGAGUAGUGCAGAGGUAGGCGGAAUUCCCGGUGUAGCGGUGGAAUGCGUAGAUAUCGGGAGGAACACCAGUGGCGAAGGCGGCCUACUGGGCACCAACUGACGCUGAGGCUCGAAAGUGUGG
RNAcentral lists this ribosomal RNA (689 nucleotides) under uncultured Lachnospiraceae bacterium. RNAcentral describes it as "bacterial SSU rRNA". It matches the Rfam family "Bacterial small subunit ribosomal RNA", at positions 62 to 764 of the family's 1533-position model. Lineage: Bacteria; Bacillati; Bacillota; Clostridia; Lachnospirales; Lachnospiraceae. The record is from RNAcentral.